RNAcentral lists this long non-coding RNA (1829 nucleotides) under Homo sapiens (human). RNAcentral describes it as "HSALNT0346260". The record is from RNAcentral. Lineage: Eukaryota; Metazoa; Chordata; Mammalia; Primates; Hominidae.
AUUCCAGGCUGUGGAUCCGGUCGUGGGAAGCAGUAAAGAUGGGAUCUUGUUCUGUUGCCCAGGCUGGUCUCCAACUUCUGGCUGCAAGUGAUCCUCCCUCCUUGGCCUGGCAAAGUGCUGGGAUUACAGGGCCGCACACAUACAGAGCUGAACUUGUAUCGCCGUGUAGAUGAAGACAAACACCUUUAGGAGAUGGCAGAGAAACAAAAUGGGAAACCCUCAGGUCUCCAAAUGACUACACCAAGCAGAAUUGCCCCACCAGCCUGCACCAUUCAUUUCUAGACUAUGAGCAAGAAGUACACUUCCAUCUUAUUUAAACAACCAUAUUUGGGGUUUUUGUUGUUGUUAUUGUUGUUGUUAUAGGAGCUUAGCUUUUACUCUAAGAAAUACAGCUACUCAACUCACUUCAUUAGGAUCUUAACUAUAAUAUCAAAACCUCCUAAGCACAGAAUAAAAAAUACAGUAGAGCAAUAUCAUUUAUGAUCAUAGAUGCAGAGCUUCCAAAUGAAAUACUAGCAUAUUCAAGGAAAGAUAUAUAUACCAUGACCUAGUUGUGUUUAAUUUCUGGAAUUCAAAAAUGGAAUGUUUGACAUAAGAAAAUCUAUUAGGCCGGGCGCGGUGGCUCACGCCUGUAAUCCCAGCACUUUGGGAGGCCGAGGCAGGCAGAUCACGAGGUCAGGAGAUCGAGAUCAUCCUGGCUAAUACGGUGAAACCCCGUUUCUACUAAAAAAUACAAAAAAAAAAUAUUAGCUGGGAGUGGUGGCGGGCGCCUGUAGUCCCAGCUACUUGGGAGGCUGAGGCAGGAGAAUGGCGUGAACCCGGGAGGCAGAGCUUACAGUGAGCUGAGAUCGUGCCACUGCACUCCAGCCUGGGUGACAGAGCGAGACUCUGUCUCAAAAAAAAAAAAAAAAAGAAAAAAGAAAACAGUUUGGCAGUUCCUCAAAAAGUUAAACAUAGGAUGUUUGAAAAUUUAAACGUAAUAUGACCUAGCAAUUCAACCCCAGGUAUACAACCAAGAGAAUUGAAAACAGGUGUUCAAACAAAAACUUGUACAGGAUUGCUCAUAGCAGCAUUAUUUAUAAUAGCCAAAAGGAAGAAACUACUCAAAUGUCCAUCAGCUGAUGAAUGGAUAAACAAAAUAUGGUGUAUUUCUACAAUGGACUAUUAUUCAAUCAUAAAAAAUGAAAUGCUGAUAAAUGCCAAAAUUGACGAACUUUUAAAACAUGCUAAGUGGCUGGGUGGGGUGGCUCUAGUCCGUAAUCCCGGCAUGUUAAGAGGCCGAGGUGGGCGGGUCACUUGAGCCUGGGAGGUCGAGGCUGCAGAGAGCUGAGAUCGCGCUACUGCACUCUAGCCUGGGUGACAGAGCAGACCCUGUCUCAGAAAGAAAAGAAAAAACAGAAAAGAGAAAGAAGACAGGAGAGGAGAGAAGGGGAGGGGAGGGGAGGGGAAUGGAGAGGGGGAGGGGAGGGGAGGGGAAGGGGGAGGGAAGGGGAGGGGAGGGGAACAUCCUGGCCGGGUGCAGUGGCUCACGCCUGUAAUCCUAGCACUUUGGGAGGCCAAGGUGGGCGGAUUGCCUGAGCUCAGGAGUUCGAGACCAGCCUGGGCAACACGGUGAAACCCCGUCUCUACUAAAAUACAAAAAAAUUAGUUGGGCGUGGCGAUGUAUACCUGUAGUCCCAGCUACUCAGGAUGCUGAGGCAGAAGAAUUGCUUGAACCCAGGAGGUUGAGGUUGCAGUGACGCGAGAUUGCACCACUGCACUCCAGCCUGGGUGACAGAGUGAGACUCUCUCCCAAAAAAAAAAAAAAAGAAAAGAAAAGAAAAGAACAU